RNAcentral lists this ribosomal RNA (180 nucleotides) under uncultured bacterium. Its description in RNAcentral is "partial 16S ribosomal RNA". It matches the Rfam family "Bacterial small subunit ribosomal RNA", at positions 1313 to 1500 of the family's 1533-position model. The record is from RNAcentral.
CGACUCCAUGAAGCUGGAUUCGCUAGUAAUCGCGCAUCAGCCACGGCGCGGUGAAUACGUUCCCGGGCCUUGUACACACCGCCCGUCAAGCCAUGGGAGUCGGGAGUGCCUGAAGUGCGUGAGCGCGAGCAGCGCCCUAGGGCAAAACCGAUGACUGGGGCUAAGUCGUAACAAGGUAGC